Molecule: ribosomal RNA, 369 nt
Filed under: uncultured organism
Description: partial 16S ribosomal RNA
Rfam family: Bacterial small subunit ribosomal RNA
Source: RNAcentral
AGAGAGUGCAAGCGUUAAUCGGAAUUACUGGGCGUAAAGCGCGCGUAGGUGGGUGCUUAAGUCGGAUGUGAAAGCCCUGGGCUCAACCCAGGAACUGCAUUCGAUACUGGGCACCUAGAGUAUAGUAGAGGGAAGUGGAAUUUCCGGUGUAGCGGUGAAAUGCGUAGAUAUCGGAAGGAACACCAGUGGCGAAGGCGGCUUCCUGGACUAAUACUGACACUGAGGUGCGAAAGCGUGGGGAGCAAACAGGAUUAGAGACCCUGGUAGUCCACGCUGUCAACGAUGAGAACUAGAUGUUGGGGAGUAUAUCUCUUUAGUAUCGAAGCUAACGCGUUAAGUUCUCCGCCUGGGAGUACGGCCGCAAGGUUA